UACGUAGGGUGCGAGCGUUGUCCGGAAUUAUUGGGCGUAAAGAGCUCGUAGGCGGUCUGUCGCGUCGGAUGUGAAAGCCCGGGGCUUAACCCCGGGUCUGCAUUCGAUACGGGCAGGCUAGAGUGUGGUAGGGGAGAUCGGAAUUCCUGGUGUAGCGGUGAAAUGCGCAGAUAUCAGGAGGAACACCGAUGGCGAAGGCAGGUCUCUGGGCCACUACUGACGCUGAGAAGCGAAAGCAUGGGGAGCGAACAGG
This 253-nucleotide ribosomal RNA is filed under the name uncultured bacterium. Its description in RNAcentral is "partial 16S ribosomal RNA". It matches the Rfam family "Bacterial small subunit ribosomal RNA", at positions 524 to 776 of the family's 1533-position model. The record is from RNAcentral.